AUUGAACGCUGGCGGCAUGCUUUACACAUGCAAGUCGGGCGGCAGCGCGGGGGCAACCCUGGCGGCGAGCGGCGAACGGGUGAGUAAUGCAUCGGAACGUAUCCUCGAGUGGGGGAUAACCCAGCGAAAGUUGGGCUAAUACCGCAUGAGCUCUGAGGAGGAAAGCGGGGGACCUGCGAGGGCCUCGCGCUGGAGGAGCGGCUGAUGUCCGAUUAGCUAGUUGGUGGGGUAAAGGCUUACCAAGGCGACGAUCGGUAGCUGGUCUGAGAGGAUGGUCAGCCAGACUGGGACUGAGACACGGCCGAGACUCCUAGGGGGAGAAACAGUGCGGAAUUUUGCACGAUGGAGGCAACCCUGAUCCAGCGAUGCGGGGUAAAGGAUGAAGGCGUUCGGGUGGGAAAACUCUGUCGGUCGGAGCAAAGUGAGCGGGUCUAAUACUCCUGGCUGAUGACGGUACCGUAAGAAGAAGCACCGGCUAACUACGUG
RNAcentral lists this ribosomal RNA (486 nucleotides) under uncultured bacterium. RNAcentral's name for it is "partial 16S ribosomal RNA". It matches the Rfam family "Bacterial small subunit ribosomal RNA", at positions 29 to 507 of the family's 1533-position model. The record is from RNAcentral.